This 484-nucleotide ribosomal RNA is filed under the name uncultured bacterium. RNAcentral describes it as "partial 16S ribosomal RNA". It matches the Rfam family "Bacterial small subunit ribosomal RNA", at positions 30 to 507 of the family's 1533-position model. The record is from RNAcentral.
AUUGAACGCUGGCGGCAGGCCUAACACAUGCAAGUCGAGCGGAUGAAGGGAGCUUGCUCCUGGAUUCAGCGGCGGACGGGUGAGUAAUGCCUAGGAAUCUGCCUGGUAGUGAGGGAUAACGUCCGGAAACGGGCGCUAAUACCGCAUACGUCCUGAGGGAGAAAGUGGGGGAUCUUCGGACCUCACGCUAUCAGAUGAGCCUAGGUCGGAUUAGCUAGUUGGUGGGGUAAAGGCCUACCAAGGCGACGAUCCGUAACUGGUCUGAGAGGAUGAUCAGUCACACUGGAACUGAGACACGGUCCAGACUCCUACGGGAGGCAGCAGUGGGGAAUAUUGGACAAUGGGCGAAAGCCUGAUCCAGCCAUGCCGCGUGUGUGAAGAAGGUCUUCGGAUUGUAAAGCACUUUAAGUUGGGAGGAAGGGCAGUAAGUUAAUACCUUGCUGUUUUGACGUUACCAACAGAAUAAGCACCGGCUAACUUCGUG